GGCUGCUCCUAGUACGAGAGGACCGGAGUGGACGCAUCACUGGUGUUCGGGUUGUCAUGCCAAUGGCACUGCCCGGUAGCUAAAUGCGGAAGAGAUAAGUGCUGAAAGCAUCUAAGCACGAAACUUGCCCCGAGAUGAGUUCUCCCUGAGACUUUAGGUCUCCUGAAGGAACGUUGAAGACGACGACGUUGAUAGGCCGGGUGUGUAAGCGCAGCGAUGCGUUGAGCUAACCGGUACUAAUGAACCGUGAGGCUUAACCUUACAACGCCGAAG
RNAcentral lists this ribosomal RNA (273 nucleotides) under Salmonella enterica. RNAcentral describes it as "partial 23S ribosomal RNA". It matches the Rfam family "Bacterial large subunit ribosomal RNA", at positions 2670 to 2925 of the family's 2925-position model. Lineage: Bacteria; Pseudomonadati; Pseudomonadota; Gammaproteobacteria; Enterobacterales; Enterobacteriaceae. The record is from RNAcentral.